Molecule: ribosomal RNA, 1374 nt
Filed under: Enterococcus durans
Lineage: Bacteria; Bacillati; Bacillota; Bacilli; Lactobacillales; Enterococcaceae
Description: bacterial SSU rRNA
Rfam family: Bacterial small subunit ribosomal RNA
Source: RNAcentral
CGGAGCUUGCUCCACCGGAAAAAGAAGAGUGGCGAACGGGUGAGUAACACGUGGGUAACCUGCCCAUCAGAAGGGGAUAACACUUGGAAACAGGUGCUAAUACCGUAUAACAAUCGAAACCGCAUGGUUUUGAUUUGAAAGGCGCUUUCGGGUGUCGCUGAUGGAUGGACCCGCGGUGCAUUAGCUAGUUGGUGAGGUAACGGCUCACCAAGGCCACGAUGCAUAGCCGACCUGAGAGGGUGAUCGGCCACAUUGGGACUGAGACACGGCCCAAACUCCUACGGGAGGCAGCAGUAGGGAAUCUUCGGCAAUGGACGAAAGUCUGACCGAGCAACGCCGCGUGAGUGAAGAAGGUUUUCGGAUCGUAAAACUCUGUUGUUAGAGAAGAACAAGGAUGAGAGUAACUGUUCAUCCCUUGACGGUAUCUAACCAGAAAGCCACGGCUAACUACGUGCCAGCAGCCGCGGUAAUACGUAGGUGGCAAGCGUUGUCCGGAUUUAUUGGGCGUAAAGCGAGCGCAGGCGGUUUCUUAAGUCUGAUGUGAAAGCCCCCGGCUCAACCGGGGAGGGUCAUUGGAAACUGGGAGACUUGAGUGCAGAAGAGGAGAGUGGAAUUCCAUGUGUAGCGGUGAAAUGCGUAGAUAUAUGGAGGAACACCAGUGGCGAAGGCGGCUCUCUGGUCUGUAACUGACGCUGAGGCUCGAAAGCGUGGGGAGCAAACAGGAUUAGAUACCCUGGUAGUCCACGCCGUAAACGAUGAGUGCUAAGUGUUGGAGGGUUUCCGCCCUUCAGUGCUGCAGCUAACGCAUUAAGCACUCCGCCUGGGGAGUACGACCGCAAGGUUGAAACUCAAAGGAAUUGACGGGGGCCCGCACAAGCGGUGGAGCAUGUGGUUUAAUUCGAAGCAACGCGAAGAACCUUACCAGGUCUUGACAUCCUUUGACCACUCUAGAGAUAGAGCUUCCCCUUCGGGGGCAAAGUGACAGGUGGUGCAUGGUUGUCGUCAGCUCGUGUCGUGAGAUGUUGGGUUAAGUCCCGCAACGAGCGCAACCCUUAUUGUUAGUUGCCAUCAUUUAGUUGGGCACUCUAGCAAGACUGCCGGUGACAAACCGGAGGAAGGUGGGGAUGACGUCAAAUCAUCAUGCCCCUUAUGACCUGGGCUACACACGUGCUACAAUGGGAAGUACAACGAGUCGCGAAGUCGCGAGGCUAAGCUAAUCUCUUAAAGCUUCUCUCAGUUCGGAUUGUAGGCUGCAACUCGCCUACAUGAAGCCGGAAUCGCUAGUAAUCGCGGAUCAGCACGCCGCGGUGAAUACGUUCCCGGGCCUUGUACACACCGCCCGUCACACCACGAGAGUUUGUAACACCCGAAGUC